CCUACGGGUGGCAGCAGUGGGGAAUAUUGCACAAUGGGGGAAAGCCUGAUGCAGCGACGCAGCGUGAGUGAAGAAGAAUUUCGGUACGGAAAGCUCUAUCAGCAGGGAAGAAAAUGACGGUACCUGAGUAAGAAGCUCCGGCUAACUACGUGCCAGCAGACGCGGCAAUACGUAGGGGGCAAGAGUUAGACGGAUUUACUGGGUGUAAAGGGAGCGUAGACGGCAGCGCAAGUCUGAAGUGAAAUCCCGUGGCUCAACCGUAGAACUGCUUUGGAAACUGGGAGUCUGGAGUACAGGAGAGGUAAGCGGAAUUCCUGGUGUAGCGGUGAAAUGCGUAGAUAUCAGGAGGAACACCAGUGGCGAAGGCGGCUUACUGGACUGUAACUGACGUUGAGGCUCGAAAGCGUGGGGAGCAAACAGGAUUAGAUACCCCUGUAGUC
RNAcentral lists this ribosomal RNA (440 nucleotides) under uncultured bacterium. Its description in RNAcentral is "partial 16S ribosomal RNA". It matches the Rfam family "Bacterial small subunit ribosomal RNA", at positions 338 to 795 of the family's 1533-position model. The record is from RNAcentral.